UACGAAGGGGGCGAGCGUUGUUCGGAUUUACUGGGCGUAAAGCGCACGCAGGCGGUCCAAUCAGUCUGUAGGGACAGGGCACAGCUUAACUGUGUCAGGCUUACGGAAACUGUUGGACUUGAGGGCUUCAGAGGGAUGGGGAAUUCCGGGUGGAGUGGUGAAAUGCGUAGAGAUCCGGAAGAACACCAAAGGCGAAGGCACCAUCCUGGGGAGUCACUGACGCUCGGGUGCGAAAGCUAGGGGAGCGAACGGG
RNAcentral lists this ribosomal RNA (253 nucleotides) under uncultured bacterium. RNAcentral describes it as "partial 16S ribosomal RNA". It matches the Rfam family "Bacterial small subunit ribosomal RNA", at positions 524 to 776 of the family's 1533-position model. The record is from RNAcentral.